GAAUAAGGUUUUUGCGUAGGCGUUGUGCACAGUUAAAUAGAUAUUGUGUAUUCCCCCUAAGCAUCAAAUUUUAUU
MicroRNA precursor from Lottia gigantea (owl limpet), 75 nucleotides. It matches the Rfam family "mir-242_2 microRNA precursor family". The record is from Rfam. Lineage: Eukaryota; Metazoa; Mollusca; Gastropoda; Lottiidae.